Molecule: ribosomal RNA, 484 nt
Filed under: uncultured bacterium
Lineage: Bacteria
Description: partial 16S ribosomal RNA
Rfam family: Bacterial small subunit ribosomal RNA
Source: RNAcentral
AUUGAACGCUGGCGGCAGGCCUAACACAUGCAAGUCGAGCGGAUGAAGGGAGCUUGCUCCUGGAUUCAGCGGCGGACGGGUGAGUAAUGCCUAGGAAUCUGCCUGGUAGUGGGGGAUAACGUCCGGGAACGGGCGCUAAUACCGCAUACGUCCUGAGGGAGAAAGUGGGGGAUCUUCGGACCUCACGCUAUCAGAUGAGCCUAGGUCGGAUUAGCUAGUUGGUGGGGUAAAGGCCUACCAAGGCGACGAUCCGUAACUGGUCUGAGAGGAUGAUCAGUCACACUGGAACUGAGACACGGUCCAGACUCCUACGGGAGGCAGCAGUGGGGAAUAUUGGACAAUGGGCGAAAGCCUGAUCCAGCCAUGCCGCGUGUGUGAAGAAGGUCUUCGGAUUGUAAAGCACUUUAAGUUGGGAGGAAGGGCAGUAAGUUAAUACCUUGCUGUUUUGACGGUACCAACAGAAUAAGCACCGGCUAACUUCGUG